This 449-nucleotide ribosomal RNA is filed under the name uncultured bacterium. RNAcentral describes it as "bacterial SSU rRNA". It matches the Rfam family "Bacterial small subunit ribosomal RNA", at positions 355 to 799 of the family's 1533-position model. The record is from RNAcentral.
UGGGGAAUAUUGGACAAUGGGGGAACCCUGAUCCAGCAAUGCCGCGUGUGUGAAGAAGGCCUGAGGGUUGUAAAGCACUUUCAGAGGGGAGGAGGACUAUUAGGUUAAGAGCUAGAUAGUUGGACGUUACCCUCAGAAGCAGCACCGGCUAACUCCGUGCCAGCAGCCGCGGUAAUACAUGUGGGGCAAGCGUUGUUCGGAAUUACUGGGCAUAAAGGGUGCGUAGGCGGUUUGUUAAGUCACUGGUGAAAGUUUGCGGCCCAACCGUAAAAUUGCCUGUGAUACUGGCGAACUUGAGUGCGUGAGGGUAGGGGAACGAGCAGUGUAGCGGUGAAAUGCGUAGAUAUUGCUCGGAAGGCCGGAGCCGAAGGGGCCCUACUGGUACGUAACUGACGCUGAGGCACGAAAGCGUGGGGAGCAAACAGGAUUAGAUACCCUUGUAGUCCCUG